UGCAGGUAUAGAGGGAGGAAUGAAAGUUCUUGCUAUGUUUAGAACUGGUGUAGGUUGGGAGGUUCUGGUGAUUGAGGGUGUAAUGUCAGAGGUGGUAUAAAUGGGUUGUGAAGAGAGAGGAUUAGAGGAAGCCAUCAUGAAUUCAGAGGUAGCAGGAGGAACAGACUUACCAGUAGAAAAUUGCAGAGGAGCUGAAGAUCCGCUUCCAGAAGCUCCUUCAAGUCUG
RNAcentral lists this long non-coding RNA (226 nucleotides) under Lathyrus oleraceus (garden pea). RNAcentral's name for it is "Pisum sativum (pea) long non-coding RNA (PSAT_LNC027049)". Lineage: Eukaryota; Viridiplantae; Streptophyta; Magnoliopsida; Fabales; Fabaceae. The record is from RNAcentral.